Molecule: ribosomal RNA, 204 nt
Filed under: uncultured bacterium
Lineage: Bacteria
Description: partial 16S ribosomal RNA
Rfam family: Bacterial small subunit ribosomal RNA
Source: RNAcentral
UACGAAGGGGGCUAGCGUUGCUCGGAAUCACUGGGCGUAAAGGGUGCGUAGGCGGGUCUUUAAGUCAGGGGUGAAAGUCCUAGGAGCUCAACUCCAGAACUGCCUUUGAUACUGAGGAUCUUGAGUUCGGGAGAGGUGAGUGGAACUGCGAGUGUAGAGGUGAAAUUCGUAGAGUAUUCGCAAGAACACCAGUGGCGAAGGCGG